UAUCUCUCCGUACGGGGAAGGAUGAGAAGCUUCGACUAAGGUUCGAUUCGAGCGCAGCGAGAAAGCGUUGCCGCAGGCAACGACCCGAAGGGCGAAGCGCGCAGCGCU
RNAcentral lists this small RNA (108 nucleotides) under Salmonella enterica. Its description in RNAcentral is "partial RtT sRNA". It matches the Rfam family "RtT RNA", at positions 1 to 107 of the family's 130-position model. Rfam says of the family: This family represents a bacterial cis-regulatory element known as RtT RNA. The exact function of RtT is unknown although it is thought that it may be involved in changing the cellular response in relation to amino acid starvation. The record is from RNAcentral. RNAcentral also lists the same sequence under 1 other name. Lineage: Bacteria; Pseudomonadati; Pseudomonadota; Gammaproteobacteria; Enterobacterales; Enterobacteriaceae.